This 1127-nucleotide long non-coding RNA is filed under the name Homo sapiens (human). RNAcentral describes it as "non-protein coding lnc-HSD11B1-4:2". Lineage: Eukaryota; Metazoa; Chordata; Mammalia; Primates; Hominidae. The record is from RNAcentral.
UGCCGCCCUCACUCUGCUUUAAUAUCUCUCCGUUUCUUGCUUUCUUAAAGAAGUUCUCAUCUUGAGUCUAGUAUGUACGUGUGCAUGUGGAAAUGUAUGUAUGCAGGUGGAGGUGUGUGUGUGGAGAUGGAAGUGUGUAUGUCCAGAUGGAAUUGUGCGUGUGCAUGUGGAGGUGUGUGUGUGCAGGUGGAGGUGUGUGUGUGCAUGUGGAGGUGUGUGUGUGCAGGUGGAGGUAUGUGUGUGCAUGUGGAGGUGUGUGUGUGCAUGUGGAAGUGUGCGUGUGCAUGUGAAAGUAUGUGUGUGCAGGUGGAAGUGUGCGUGUGCAGGUGGAGGUGUGUGUGUCCAGGUAGAAUGUGUGUGCAUGUGGAGGUGUAUCUGUGCAUGUGGAGGUGUGUGUGCAGCUGGAAGUUGUGUGCAGGUGGAGGUGCACAUGUGCAUGUGAAGGUGUGUGUGUGCAUAUGGAGGUGUGUGUGUGCAUGUGGAGGUGUGCGUGUGCAGGUGAAGGUGUGCGUGUGCAGGUGAAGGUGUGCGUGUGCAGGUGGAGGUGUGCGUGUGCAUGUGGAGGGGUGCGUGUGCAUGUGGAGGUGUGUGUGUGCAGGUGGAGGUGUGCGUGUGCAUGUGGAUGUGUGUGUGUGCUCAGGUGGAAGUGUGCGUGUGCAUGUGGAGGUGUGUGUGCAGGUGGAGGUGUGUGUGUGCAGGUGGAAGUGUGCAUGCAUGUGGAAGUGUGCGUGUGCAUAUGGAUGUGUGUGCAUGUGAAGGUUGUGUGCAUGUGGAGGUGUGCGUGCGCAUGUGGAGGUGUGCGUGUUCAUGUGAAGGUGUGUGUGUGCAUGUGAAGGUAUGUGUGUGCAGGUGGAGGUGUGUGUCCCUACGGAGGUGUGCAUCUGCAUGUGAAGGUGUGCGUGUGCAUGUGAAGGUGUGUGUGUGCAUGUGGAGGUGUAUCUGUGCAUGUGGAGGUGUGCGUGUGCAGCUGGAGGUGUGUGUGCAGGUGGAAGUGUGCAUGUGCAUGUGAAGGUAUGCAUGUGCAGGUGGAGGUGUGUGCAUGUGGAGGUGUGUGUGUGCAUGUGGAGGUGUGUGUGGCAGGGAGGGGAGUGUAUUAAUCUCCUAGGGCUGCUAUGACAAAGUACCAC